This 3054-nucleotide long non-coding RNA is filed under the name Canis lupus familiaris (dog). RNAcentral describes it as "lncRNA (ENSCAFG00000050607.1)". The record is from RNAcentral. Lineage: Eukaryota; Metazoa; Chordata; Mammalia; Carnivora; Canidae.
GAUUUUAUUUAUUUAUUCAUGAGCCUGAUGCUGGACUCCUCCAAGGUCCCUGGGACCAUGACCUGAGCUGAAUGAAGGCAGACUCUCAACCACUGAGCCAUCUUGGUACCCUAUUUUUCUUUUUGUUUUGACUAUAUCCUUUCUUUAGUUUUUUUGCAAAUACUUGUCUUUUUCUUACAGAUACAGAAGACCUCCUCACACGUUCAGGAUAGUAAUCCCCCGGCCCCUUUUUUUUUUUCUUGAUAGUAACUCUUUUGACAGAACAUGAGAGACUCCUAACUCUGGGAAACAAACAAGGGGUAGUGGAAGGGGAGGUGGGCGGGGGGAUGGGGUGACUGGGUGAUGGGCACUGAGGGGGGCACUUGACGGGAUGAGCACUGGGUGUUAUGCUAUAUGUUGGCAAAUCGAACUCCAAUAAAAUAAUAUACAAAAAGAAGGAUGGUAACCCUUUGUUAAUAUAUUGGCAAGUUUUUCCAGGCUUGCCAUUUGCCUUAAUUAUAUUUAUGAUUUUUUUUAAUGUACAGAAGUGUUUUAUUUUUAUGUUUUAUGCAGUAGAAACUAUUAAUCUUUAUGUUUUCUAGCUUAGCCUGUAUAGGCUUACAAAGUCUUCUCUGUAAGUCCCACAGACUUUUGUCAAUAAAUCAUAGCCAUGUACUAUACUGUCUUGUCAUAGCUCUUCUAUUUUUGUGCAAGGUCAAUAGAGACUCAAGGCCAGGAAGAGCUCUUAUGCUUACUUUCUGCUUACAUGUCCUGUGCUUAGUCGAUUACAAUUCAUUCACUAAAAACAUAUUUUAAGGGAUGCCUGGGUGCCUCAGUGAUUGAGCAUCUGCCUUUGGCUCAGGGCGUGAUCCCAAGGUCCUGGAAUCGAGUCCCACAUCCGGCUCCCUGCAUGGAGCCUGCCCCUCUGCUUCUCUCUGUUUCUCAUGAAUAAAUAAAUUCUUUAAAAAUAUAUAUAUUUUAAUUGACCACCUCCUGUAUUCCAGGAUUAUCAAAUGUAGAUGACAUAGACACCUGUACACAACUACUUCUUUGUGAAUUUUACCAGCAUGGACCGAGUAAUUUGCGUGAGAACAUGCAGCGACAAGGGCGGGAAGGGAAGCGGAUGAAUUUUUUUAAAGUCCCUGCCCCUUGGAAAUUUAAAGUUUAAUGCACCCUUGAGGUUUUAAAGAAACGAGAUUUAGAAGGCAUGUGAAUAACUGCAAUACAAGGGAGAAAAUAUAAGUAGCUUGGGAGAUGGGUAAAACUUCUCAGCACUCCCACACUGGGGAUCAUGGAGGGCCUGUAGAGAAAGUUGCCUCUGAAGUAAGCUUUCCAGAUGGGAGUUAAGGAGAGAGCACUCUCUUCCUCCUGCCCUCAUGGACGAGGAAGCAGGCACAGUUGACCCAACCUCUCCCUGUAGUACUAUAAAAAAAGGUUACCAGUGAAAUAUGUUUGUAUCAACCCACAAUGCCCAGAGGAGGAGCUCAGAGAAAAGAGUUAGCACUUCUUGGUACUUCCUUUGGCAUUUACAAUUGUUUGUGGUAUUGUGGGGGGUGUAGAUAAUUUUCUUUGUUACAUAGUUAAAUCUUCUCAUUUUGUGUUUUCCAAAGAUGGCUGCACUAAUAUAUAUCCCACCUCACAUGCUCUUCUUAGAAUGUGACUGUAACAGGUUUCAUUGAGAGAUGGAGUCUAUGUUCCCUCCCACUGAGCCUGGGUGGGCUUCCCUAAUUGCUCAACCAGUAGAAUGUGUCAGAAGUGCUGCUGCAUGAUAUCCAAGGCUAGGUCCUAAAAAGCACUCCUAGCUGGCUCUCCUCUCUCUUGAGACGCUUGCUCUCUAAACCCAGCCCAACGUUGUGAGGAAGUCCAGGCCACACGAAGGCCACAUAGGUCUCAUCAACAACCCCUGCCAGGUUCCUGGUCAACAGCAAGACCAGUGAACAGGAGGAGUUGAGGCUCAUGAUGUGAUUUACAUCUUGGAACAAGUCUCCUGAAGAUUUGGGGUGGGGGUGAGGGGGAUCGGGGGGUGGGCAACAGAUCAGGCAGGGAGGCAGGGAGAAAGAUGGCAGGCUAUAGCCAUAACCCAGCACAGAGAUGAUGUGGUUAGGGUAUAGCAGUGGGGUAGUGAGAAGUAGUCCUAUCUGGGAAAUGCUGUGAAGGUAGAGUUGAUGAGAUUUGCUGAUGGAUUGAUGGGAGUUGGGAGACAAAGAGAGGAGUCAGUGAUAAUGCCUGGAUUGUUAGCCUGAGCAGUUGAGUAUUGGGUAAGUGAUGGUGUCAUUUAUUCAGAUGAGAACAGCUGAGGGAAGAGCAGCUUUUCAAGGCAGGAUAGUCAAUAAUUUGAUCCUGGGUGUGUUCUAGGAAGAGCCUGUUAGACAUCCAAAUGGAAAAGCUGACUAAACAGUGGGAAUUGUGAGUCUAGGGCUCAGAGUAGUUUAAGCUGGAGAUACAAAUGUGGGAAUCAUGGCAUACAGAUGGCAUUCUAGAUAUUAUUGCUGUGUAAGAAAUGACCCCAAAACUUGGCUGUUUUAAAAUGGGGUCAGGACAGGUUCUUGCAUUGACCAUUGGCUGGGCCCAGAACCAGGCCUCUCUAAGGGGCACUACCUGGGGGCUCAACUGAGCUCAACUCCUCAGUCCCACAAAGACGAUCAGUCAGUACCUCCAGGCUCUCAAGUGCUCAGUCUUCCAUAACACAAGGCAGGGGGGAUGGUGGUGGCCAUAGAUGCCUCCUAUAGAGAGGGGGUGGCCCCAACCCAGAAAAACCUUCCUUUUAGAUUUAUUUUAUUUUAUUUGACAGAGAGCACAAGCAGGGGAAGCAGCAGGCAGAGGGAGAAACAGGCUCUCGGCUGAGCAGGGAGCCCAACUCUGGACUUGAUCCCAGGAACUGGGAUCAUGACCUGAGCUGAGGCAGACAACCGACUGAGCCACCCAAGUGCCCCUAGAAAACGAUUUUUGCCCCUUAUUCCUUUUUUUUUUUUUUUAGAUUUUAUUUAUUUAUUCAUGAGAGACACACAGAGAGAGAAAGGCAGAGACACCGGCAGAGGGAGAAGCAGACUCCAUGCAGGGAGCCCGACAGGGACU